RNAcentral lists this long non-coding RNA (2764 nucleotides) under Cricetulus griseus (Chinese hamster). RNAcentral's name for it is "lncRNA (ENSCGRG00015036862.1)". Lineage: Eukaryota; Metazoa; Chordata; Mammalia; Rodentia; Cricetidae. The record is from RNAcentral.
CUCUAGUUGAACAAACACCCCGUGUCAUAGUAUACCUUAAAACGCAUUCAAGAAAAAUCAGUAAAAUAAAGUUACUGUGAGAACUUACGUAAGUUCUUGCAAGCCCAUUGGUUUUUGUCCAAUGGUAGGCAUCUUCAAAAGAGGAUUUCGUGAGGACAGUAAUGAGGCCUGGUUUUCUAAGGCUGCCUUCAUUCUUACUUUCCUGUUGACUGUUUUCGGCUACCGGGUAUUUCCUGCUUCUCCCCAAAAGUUAAUUUCCUGUUUCUUUGUACCUAUUAAUCUGAAGCAGAAUUUCUCCUGUUCAAACUUGGCCAUCAUCGCAACUGUCUGCAUCCUCUCCGCCCCCCACCCCGGCUGUGGAUGAAUUUUCUAGCUAAAAAUAUGUGGGGAAAAUAAAAGGGCGAUGAGAUGGCCCAGCAGAGAAGGACCCUUGCUGUUACCAUUAAGGACCUGAGUUUGAUCUCUGGGACUCCCAUAGCGGGAGAAAAGGACUAACUUCUGAAAGCUGUCUUCUGACCUCCUUCCAUACAUGUACUGUGGCACAUGCACACACACACACACACACACACACACACACACACACACACACACACAAAUAAAUAAAUAAGUGUAAUUAGAAUUUAAAAGCAAAAUGAAGAAAAGUAUGCUUGCAGGCUUCAGCACUUUCCUCCAGCUGGCCAUCUUAAUGGUUUCCACUAGCCAUCAUUUAUUUGUUGACCCACAAUCUAUAAUUCCAGUGGGUGUUUUUGUUUCCUUUGGGGAAAGGAGUGAUAAAAGUUGAACCCAUGGCCUUGCACAUACUACAUAGAUGAUCUACCGUAUAUGUUACAAUUCCAGCCCACUUCCUUAGUUUUUCUUUUGUUGAAACAGAGUUUCAUGUAGCCAAGGCUAGCCUUUAACUUGCUGUGCAGCUGAUGAUAGCCUUGAAUACCUGAUCCUGCCUUCACUUCCCAAGUGCUGUUUUUGCAGACAUGCAUAGCCAUCAGGGGUUAGCUUUAAUUUUUUUUCCACAGUCACCACUCCCGCCCAUAGUCUGCCUCAAUUCCCCUCUCCUUUUUAUCCUCUUGGCUUUUUUCAGAGGAUAUUCUGAAUAUUUGAAAAUAAAUUACUCCUCCUACUAUAAUCUAUUUCUGUUUUUUCAUUAUUAUCCCCAAAUAAAUAAAAUAAACUUGCAUCAUAUAAUUAUCAUAUAUUGCAUUAUGUAUUUAUUGAGUUUUUUGGGUGAGGGGGUUCGAGACAGGGUUUCUCUGUGGCUUUGGAGUGGGUCCUGGAACUAGCUCUUGUAGACCAGGCUGGUCUCGAACUCACAGAGAUCUGCCUGCCUCUGCCUCCCGAGUGCUGGGAUUAAAGGCCUGUAUUUAUGGAAUUUGUAAAGCAUUUAUUUGUUAGGUAUGUAUGUGUGUCUAUGUGUGCCAAAGUGUAUGUGUGCAAUAAGUGUAGCGGUCAGAAGGGCAACAUAUUUGGAUAUGUAUUUUCUCUCUCUUUUUUUCCCUUUCUCUUCCCAAGGUCUCACUAUGUAGCCUUGGCUGCCUGGAAUUUGCUAUGUGGAUCAGGCUGGCCUUGAACUCAAAGAGCUCAUCCUGCCUCUGCCUCCUGCGUGCUGGGAUUAAAGACCUGCCAGGAGAGCUCUCUAAAUUUGAGGCCAUCCUGGUAUACAAUCCAGGACUGCACUCUCCACAUCCACGAAAGAUUAAGGCAGUAAGGCCUGCCUCCAGUCAGCAUGGAUAUUUGGAAGCAGAAUGUGGCAGCUAAAGUAGACUCCACAGUCAGAUCACAGAAGAACAUAGUAACUGGGCCUGGUAUUACAGGCUUGCCAACCCAGUUACCCAGGAAGCUGAGGCAAAAGGAUUCUAAGUUCAAGGCCAGCCUGAACAAUUUAGUAAGACCCUGACCCAGACUAAAAAGCAAAUGCCGGGGCUCUGAUUCAGUAGUAGGGUACUUUCCCAGCAAGCAAAGCAUGAGGUUCUGAGUUCAACCAUGCCCUUCUUUCUUCAAAAAAAAAAAAAAAAAAAAAAAAAAAAAAAAAAAAAAAAAAAAAAAAAAACUAAAGAAAACAAAAACCACAGGAAGCCAUCAGCUUUCCCUCUCAUUGGUCUCCUGGAUACAGGAGGUCAGAGGAAGCCCUGUUGUUCUCCCAUAUACAAAUAAUAAAUAGUUCUGCAAGGUGUCCAGACAUGAUGUAUGGAUAGUUGAAUCGUAACUAUUUCCUUUCACUUCGUUUGGCUUUUUAAGAAUCAGAUAUUACUUGAUUCUAUUCCCCCUCUGGCCAAUUCUAAUUAACUUUAAAAAAUUCCAUUCCUUUGAAUGGUUUGAACAUAUUCUCUUUUAUUCCAGGGAUUUCCUUGAAGUAAUUUCCGGUUUAAUCAUCAGGAAUGUAAAAUAUAGGCUAGGGAAUAAAGUAAGAUCUGGAUUUUGGACAAGUAAUACUCUUGUCUUGUUUUCUGUUGUUGUGAUAAAAUAUUCUGGCUAGGGGACUAGAAAGAUGUCUCAGAGGUUAAGAGCACUGACUGCUCUUCCAGAAGUCCUGAGUUCAAUAGAACUCACAACCAUCUGUAAUGAGAUCUGGCGCCCUCUUCUGGCCUGCGGGCAUACAUGGAGACAGAGCACUGUAUACGUAAUAAAUAAAUAAAUCAUUAAAAAAUAUUCUGACUAAAGCAAUGUAAAUGAGAAAGAAUUUAUUUUGGCUUACAGUUCCAUAGAGAUACAGUCUAUCACACCAGGCCAGCUUGUCACGUUGUAUCAGCAGUCAGUGUUCAGAACAAGG